RNAcentral lists this ribosomal RNA (331 nucleotides) under Trichodina sp. 3. Its description in RNAcentral is "partial small subunit ribosomal RNA". The stretch from base 73 to 217 matches the Rfam family "5.8S ribosomal RNA". Lineage: Eukaryota; Ciliophora; Oligohymenophorea; Mobilida; Trichodinidae. The record is from RNAcentral.
UUAUGAAUUAUUCUUCUCUGACUAUUGUUCUUGAGCCUAAUAAGGCAAUUUGUUAUACAAUGCCAUUUGACACAUCUUCAACGAUGGAUCUCUUGGCUCCCACCUCGAUGAAGAACGCAGCGAAAUGCGAUACGCAGUGCGAAUUGCAGAACCGCGAGUCAUCAGAUCUUCGAACGCAUCGGCGCCAAGAUAUCUUGGCAUGUUUAAUUCAGCGUGUCUAGUCAUCAUAAUAUAUGUGAUUGAGGAAUCUUUCACUAAGAAUGUAGAAUCGUUGAUAAUUCCGAAUGGUCACGAAAGUGAUGGAAUUAUCAAUAACGAUGUUAUAAAAAGC